GAUUAACGCUGGCGGCGUGCCUAACACAUGCAAGUCGAACGGGGGUAGCAAUACUCCAGUGGCAGACGGGUGAGUAACACGUGACCAAUCUACCCUAGAGUGGGGGAUAACUAGCCGAAAGGUUAGCUAAUACCGCAUGACACGAAGCGAGGCAUCUCGCAACGUUGAAAGGAGCAAUCCGCUCGAGGACGGGGUCGCGUCCGAUUAGCUAGUUGGUGGGGUAACGGCCUACCAAGGCUCCGAUCGGUAGCUGGUUUGUAGAGAGCGACCAGCCACACUGGGAC
RNAcentral lists this ribosomal RNA (284 nucleotides) under uncultured bacterium. RNAcentral's name for it is "partial 16S ribosomal RNA". It matches the Rfam family "Bacterial small subunit ribosomal RNA", at positions 28 to 319 of the family's 1533-position model. The record is from RNAcentral.